Long non-coding RNA from Xenopus tropicalis (tropical clawed frog), 1029 nucleotides. RefSeq lists it as uncharacterized. The record is from RefSeq and is a predicted model, not a curated record. NCBI's taxonomy places the organism in Eukaryota, Metazoa, Chordata, Amphibia, Anura, Pipidae. The transcript is spliced from 4 exons.
AGUUCAUAUAAUUUAGCAUUUACUCUAACUCAAAUACUGUAGGUCUUUCUUUUUGCCGCCUACAAAAAUGGCUACCUACUGCUUCCGUGAAGUACUUCCGGUGUUGCGGAUGGGCGGGACAAGAGUUCUGACGAACCUGGCAUAUAUAACCUCGUGAUUGAGAGUUUCUCGUCCAUUUUACCUUCUGUGAGUUGGAGGGACUGAGCUGGUUUUAGAACACUUUGCAGAGGCCUAAGCAAAGUAUAAUGUGGCAAAUAAAGCAAGACGGUGGCGUCGCUUUCCGCAGCUAUGGAGUUUGUAUUUUGAGAGAAAAGGAUCGUUUAGGAAGAAAAAUCAUCGCCCUUUGGCUGUUUCAGGAAGACGGUAGUUGUAAGUGAACGGUCCGCAGACGAGACCAUUUUAUGCCAUAUUCUCGAUGAUGAAUGAAGAUGGGUGAUCUCUUUGUCCUAUGGAUGGUCAUUUGCAGAAUUCUGCCCACCGAUGGAAUCCACAAAGGCUCACGUUGACAGAGGGAAACUACACGGGAGUAGCGCGCCUUCACGUGCUCACACCCGCCAUACUGUCGUAAGUUCUAUGGUGUUUUAUAAAUUACUGUUUAUAUAGCGCAAAAUAUGUUGUAAUAUUUUCUUGAACCAACACUUUUUUUUUAUUUUUUUAGUUGUAAUUUUGGUGUGCAUGAAUCUGAGCUUUCAGAAGGUGCCAGUCUGCACAUUGUAACUGCUUUCAGAAAUUACUCACCCUGACCUUGUUCAAAGGGAGAUGGGGGAAUGUGAUGCACUUUUUUUUCCCAUAUCUAAGCUGCAAUGUUUGAAAUAAGGAGCUGCUGAUUCUACAGAGGGCUUCACAGUGAACCACUUUGUGUGAGAGUUGGACCUAAGGAAGCAGCUGGGACACUGAUUUAUUUAUCAACACUAUCAAAAUGAAACAAAGAAAAAUCCUUUUCACUAAAACCAUAAAAUUAUUUAAAUCUAUGAUAAGCACAAAUGGAAACCUGUUGAAAGAAUUUGAAUAAAUAUACAAAAAUCUCAA